GACACCCGCACUACGGGGCCCCCGCGCGAUUCCCCGCCACCCGGCUUCGCGAUUUCGUUGGCUCGCUUCAGAACUUGGUGGUGCUGAGUGAGGUGGUGGUGCGCUCGGGGGCUUCAGACUUCUGAAGGCCUUCAACCAUUUAUUCUUCAUACUGCCAGCUGAUGAAGAGGACAGCUUUCUAUCUACCGCUGCGGUACCGCUGUCCGCCUUUGUUGCGAAAAGUUCUCUCUGUGUAACAGAAGGAAGGUGUAUAAAAAUUUUGUGCAUACUUUAAUAUUUUAAAUGCGGUGGUGAUUAUAAGUUCUGCCUGAUCGUAAGUGGUUACAGUAACUUAUGUACACCUUUAAAACUAUGGGCAUUGAUUGCACGUUUAUGUCUCUAAUAUGUAUAACCAUUGCUUUAUAUUAUUAGAAUAUAGACAUAUAUUAAGUAUAUUACUAGGCUACUUAUAUAUUAAAUGUUAUAUAAGUUCAGAUUAAGUAUUAUCGUUAAUAAUAUUUAUUAUACACCUGUAAUACAUAGACCAAAGUUAAGUGUAGAUUCUGGAUAUAAUGGAAUGAGUCUCAACUCAAUUUUGUCAAAAUGAAUGUUAACAAUUUAAAAUUCUUCUAAAAUUCUGAUUGAAAACUGUAAUACGAAUCUUCUUUAAUAUUUUAUGAUUUUCUAUAAACGUUUAUAAACACAAUAUGUUUGUACAUAAUAUGAGUGUACAAUAAAUAUAAUUUCAUACUUUUUGUACACAUAAUUCUAUCGAGAGUUACGCUACAAUUUAUUUGUACUAUAUUUCAGAAUCUCUUGAACGUUUUGGAGUACUAUUUAAUCAACUGUAAAAGAAAUAUAUAUAAAGUGAUGCAUUUGCCAAUUUUGAGUCGAUUUUGGAUGAGUAUAUCUUACAAAAUACAAAUUGUAAAUUAUAAGUAGGUAUACAAAAUGCCACCAAAUUAUAUGACAAGCUGCAUUAUCAUAGAAAUGAAUGAUACCAAGCGUCAGCAUAAACCGCUUAAUAAGAUAUGAAAAUCUAAGAGCUUCCUUGUCAUUUUCAAUAUGCUUAUAGUAAGGACCAUUCCCUUGAAAUGAUUCAAUUUUGAAUAUUGUAUAGGAAAAUUUGCAAUUUAAUUGACAUCCAAUUGAAAUAAGGUGACGCCUUUAUCAGACUUAAUAGAUUGAAAACAUUCCAAUACGGAAAAUUUAAUUAAAAUCAACAGAGGUCAUGAAUUAAAUUAAUAUACCUAAAAGCAAUUAUAUUAAUAGUUAAAUACUUGAGCUUGGUUUGUUUAAAUCUAAUCGUUACUACUGGCAAAUAAAAAUGAGCUAGCUUAUUAUCUAAAUAAAUAAUACUAAUCCAUCUAACAAAAAUCUAGCCAUGAUUCUAAGAAAAUACAUGUUUUAUCUCUGACAUAUAUUAUGUUGAUGGAAAGGGUUCUAGAUAUGUACAAAAGCAAUAAAAAAAACAUGUUUCAUAGGUGUAUAACAAUAUGUAUAAAAUUUGUCAUAACCGCUCUAAUUACAUGAUGUCUAACUACA
Molecule: long non-coding RNA, 1524 nt
Organism: Galleria mellonella (greater wax moth)
Lineage: Eukaryota; Metazoa; Arthropoda; Insecta; Lepidoptera; Pyralidae
Exons: 2
Source: RefSeq, a predicted model, not a curated record